Molecule: transfer RNA, 68 nt
Filed under: Protonemura kohnoae
Lineage: Eukaryota; Metazoa; Arthropoda; Insecta; Plecoptera; Nemouridae
Also listed under: 1 other name
Description: tRNA-Met
Rfam family: tRNA
About the family: Transfer RNA (tRNA) molecules are approximately 80 nucleotides in length. Their secondary structure includes four short double-helical elements and three loops (D, anti-codon, and T loops).
Source: RNAcentral
AGAAAGAUAAGCUAAUUAAGCUACUGGGUUCAUACCCCAUUUAUAGGGGUUUAACCCCCUUCUCUCUA